Molecule: ribosomal RNA, 389 nt
Filed under: uncultured bacterium
Lineage: Bacteria
Description: bacterial SSU rRNA
Rfam family: Bacterial small subunit ribosomal RNA
Source: RNAcentral
GACGAACGCUGGCGGCGUGCUUAACACAUGCAAGUCGAGCGGUAAGGCCCUUUCGGGGGUACGACGAGCGGCGAACGGGUGAGUAACACGUGGGUGACCUGCCCUUAGCUCUGGGAUAAGCCUGGGAAACUGGGUCUAAUACCGGAUAUGACUCCAUGACGCAUGUUGUGGGGUGGAAAGCCUUGUGCGGCUAGGGAUGGGCCUGCGGCCUAUCAGCUUGUUGGUGGGGUGAUGGCCUACCAAGGCGACGACGGGUAGCCGGCCUGAGAGGGCGACCGGCCACACUGGGACUGAGACACGGCCCAGACUCCUACGGGAGGCAGCAGUGGGGAAUCUUGCGCAAUGGGCGAAAGCCUGACGCAGCGACGCCGCGUGGGGAUGACGGCCUC